Molecule: ribosomal RNA, 397 nt
Filed under: uncultured bacterium
Lineage: Bacteria
Description: bacterial SSU rRNA
Rfam family: Bacterial small subunit ribosomal RNA
Source: RNAcentral
UAAGGAAUAUUGCACAAUGGGGGAAACCCUGAUGCAGCAACGCCGCGUGAGUGACGAAGGCCUUCGGGUUGUAAAACUCUUAUCUGAGGGAUGAGGAAGGACAGUACCUUAGGAAUAAGUCUCGGCUAACUACGUGCCAGCAGCCGCGGUAAAACGUAGGAGGCGAGCGUUAUCCGGAUUUACUGGGCGUAAAGGGCAAGUAGGCGGUGGUUCAAGUUGGGCGUGACAGAUCCUGGCUUAACUGGGAGAGGUCGUUCAAAACUGGAUCACUAGAGGGCAGGAGAGGGGAGCGGAAUUCCUAGUGUAGCGGUGGAAUGCUCAGAUAUUAGGAAGAACACCAGUGGCGAAAGCGGCUUUCUGGCCUGCACCUGACGCUGAAGGGCGAAAGCUAGGGGAG